AGAGCGAACGCUGGCGGCAGGCCUAACACAUGCAAGUCGAGCGGGCAUCGCAAGAUGUCAGCGGCAGACGGGAGAGUAACACGUGGGAACAUGCCCUUCGGUUCGGAAUAACUCAGGGAAACUUGAGCUAAUACCGGAUACGUCCGUAAGGAGAAAGAUUUAUCGCCGAAGGAUUGGCCCGCGUCCGAUUAGCUAGUUGGUGAGGUAAUGGCUCACCAAGGCGACGAUCGGUAGCUGGUCUGAGAGGAUGAUCAGCCUCACUGGGACUGAGACACGGCCCAGACUCCUACGGGAGGCAGCAGUGGGGAAUAUUGGACAAUGGGCGCAAGCCUGAUCCAGCCAUGCCGCGUGGGUGAUGAAGGCCCUAGGGUUGUAAACCUCUUUCAGCAGGAACGAAUUUAGACGGUACCUGCAGAAGAAGCACCGGCCAACUACGUGCCAGCAGCCGC
RNAcentral lists this ribosomal RNA (449 nucleotides) under uncultured bacterium. RNAcentral's name for it is "SSU rRNA". It matches the Rfam family "Bacterial small subunit ribosomal RNA", at positions 26 to 518 of the family's 1533-position model. The record is from RNAcentral.